This 429-nucleotide ribosomal RNA is filed under the name uncultured Chlamydiae bacterium. RNAcentral describes it as "bacterial SSU rRNA". It matches the Rfam family "Bacterial small subunit ribosomal RNA", at positions 958 to 1385 of the family's 1533-position model. The record is from RNAcentral. Lineage: Bacteria; Pseudomonadati; Chlamydiota; Chlamydiia.
AACGCGAAGAACCUUACCUGGAUUUGACAUGUAUUUGACAGCCACAGAGAUGUGGUGUUCUCGCAAGAGACAGAUACACAGGUGCUGCAUGGCUGUCGUCAGCUCGUGCCGUGAGGUGUUGGGUUAAGUCCCGCAACGAGCGCAACCCUUGUCGUUAGUUGCCAGCGAGUAAUGUCGGGCACUCUAGCGAGACUGCCUGGGUUAACCAGGAGGAAGGUGAGGAUGACGUCAAGUCCGCAUGGCCUUUAUAUCCAGGGCUACACACGUGCUACAAUGGCCGGUACAGAAGGCAGCAAAACCGUGAGGUGGAGCAAAUCCCGAAAGCCGGCCCCAGUUCAGAUUGGAGUCUGCAACUCGACUCCAUGAAGAUGGAAUUGCUAGUAAUGGCGAGUCAGCAACAUCGCCGUGAAUACGUUCCCGGGCCUUGUA